Molecule: ribosomal RNA, 433 nt
Filed under: uncultured bacterium
Lineage: Bacteria
Description: partial 16S ribosomal RNA
Rfam family: Bacterial small subunit ribosomal RNA
Source: RNAcentral
AACGAACGCUGGCGGCAUGCCUAACACAUGCAAGUCGAACGAGACCUUCGGGUCUAGUGGCGCACGGGUGCGUAACGCGUGGGAACCUGCCCUUAGGUUCGGAAUAACUCCCCGAAAGGGGUGCUAAUACCGGAUAAUGUCUUCGGACCAAAGAUUUAUCGCCUUUGGAUGGGCCCGCGUUGGAUUAGCUAGUUGGUAGGGUAAAAGCCUACCAAGGCGACGAUCCAUAGCUGGUCUGAGAGGAUGAUCAGCCACACUGGGAAUGAGACACGGCCCAGACUCCUACGGGAGGCAGCAGUGGGGAAUAUUGGAAAAUGGGCGAAAGCCUGAACCAGCAAUGCCGGGUGAGUGAUGAAGGCCUUAGGGUUGUAAAGCUCUUUUACCCGGGAUGAUAAUGACAGUACCGGGAGAAUAAGCUCCGGCUAACUCCGUG